RNAcentral lists this ribosomal RNA (253 nucleotides) under uncultured bacterium. RNAcentral's name for it is "partial 16S ribosomal RNA". It matches the Rfam family "Bacterial small subunit ribosomal RNA", at positions 524 to 776 of the family's 1533-position model. The record is from RNAcentral.
GACGGAGGGUGCAAGCGUUGUUCGGAAUUACUGGACGUAAAGCGCGGGCAGGUGGCCUUUUAAGUCCUUUGUGAAAUUCCGGAGCUCAACUCCGGACAUGCAUAGGAUACUGGAAUGCUAGAGACUGGUAGAGGCGAGCGGAAUUCCUGGUGUAGCGGUGGAAUGCGUAGAUAUCAGGAAGAACACCGGUGGCGAAGGCGGCUCGCUGGGCCAGUUCUGACACUCAUCCGCGAAAGCGUGGGGAGCAAACAGG